Molecule: ribosomal RNA, 313 nt
Filed under: uncultured Methanosaeta sp.
Lineage: Archaea; Methanobacteriati; Methanobacteriota; Methanomicrobia; Methanotrichales; Methanotrichaceae
Description: bacterial SSU rRNA
Rfam family: Archaeal small subunit ribosomal RNA
Source: RNAcentral
GUUAAGUCAGGCAACCGAGCGAGACCCACGCCCACAGUUGCCAGCGUACUCUCUGGAGUGACGGGUACACUGUGGGGACCGCCGCUGCUAAAGCGGAGGAAGGAAUGGGCAACCGGUAGGUCAGUAUGCCCCGAAUAUCCCGGGCUACACGCGAGCUACAAUGGUUGGUACAAUGGGUAUCUACCCCGAAAGGGGACGGGAAUCUCCUAAAACCAAUCUUAGUUCGGAUUGAGGGCUGCAACUCGCCCUCAUGAAGCUGGAAUCCGUAGUAAUCGCGUUUCAACAGAACGCGGUGAAUACGUCCCUGCUCCUU